This is a small nucleolar RNA of Mercurialis annua (annual mercury), 93 nucleotides long. The record is from RefSeq and is a predicted model, not a curated record. NCBI's taxonomy places the organism in Eukaryota, Viridiplantae, Streptophyta, Magnoliopsida, Malpighiales, Euphorbiaceae.
GCGAAGGCGAUGAUGCGUAAAAACUACCUAUUUUAUGAAAGGUUAUUCCUUUUCCUGAUUAGAAAACACCAAUGGAUCCUUCUGAGCCUUUUA